GACGAACGCUGGCGGCGUGCUUAACACAUGCAAGUCGAACGGAGUGGCGAACGGGUGAGUAACACGUGGGUGACCUGCCCUGCACUUCGGGAUAAGCCUGGGAAACUGGGUCUAAUACCGGAUAGUGUGGGAUGGGCUCGCGGCUUAUCGGCUUGUGGGUGGGGUAAUGGACUGCCAAGGCGGCGCCGGGUAGCCGGCCUGAGAGGGUGGACGGCCACAUUGGGACUGAGACACGGACCAGACUCCUACGGGAGGCAGCAGGGGGAAAUAUUGUACAAUGGGGGGAAGCCUGAUGCAGCGACGCCGGGGGGGGGAUGACGGCCUUCGGGUUGUAAACUCGUUUCACCAUCGACGCGGUAGAUGGAGAAGAAGCACCGGCUAACUACGUGCCAGCAGCCGCGGUAAUAC
Molecule: ribosomal RNA, 408 nt
Filed under: uncultured bacterium
Lineage: Bacteria
Description: partial 16S ribosomal RNA
Rfam family: Bacterial small subunit ribosomal RNA
Source: RNAcentral